RNAcentral lists this transfer RNA (73 nucleotides) under Monodelphis domestica (gray short-tailed opossum). It matches the Rfam family "tRNA". From Rfam's summary of the family: Transfer RNA (tRNA) molecules are approximately 80 nucleotides in length. Their secondary structure includes four short double-helical elements and three loops (D, anti-codon, and T loops). The record is from Rfam by way of RNAcentral. Lineage: Eukaryota; Metazoa; Chordata; Mammalia; Didelphimorphia; Didelphidae.
GGCUGGGUAGCUCAGUGGAUUGAGAGCCAAGCCUAGAGGUGGGAGGUCCUUGGUUCGAAUCCGGCCUCAGCCA